GAUGCUAUUAACAAGGGCUCUCACUGUGCUAUGGUGAGUGGAACUCAAGAAUGCCUAGUUCAGCAGUAAAGGUUGGCUUUGAUGAGCAGACCAGCAAUGUUUCUGUUUCUUAAAAUAUGUCAGGUGUGGCAUGUGACGUGGUUACUAUUAUUAAUACUUAAAAUAAGCAGACUAGGUUUGCCUUCUUAUGGUACCCAUUCAUGUUCGUGUGUUCAGCACUAUUUUUCUGCUGUGUCUUCAGCAAUGCUCUGUUUGGACGUACUAUGUUGGGUUGUAUAAUAUGCUAUGGAAUGUUUUCUGUUGUGAAACAG
This 311-nucleotide unclassified non-coding RNA is filed under the name Hevea brasiliensis (rubber tree). The record is from RNAcentral. Lineage: Eukaryota; Viridiplantae; Streptophyta; Magnoliopsida; Malpighiales; Euphorbiaceae.